AUUGAACGCUGGCGGCAUGCCUUACACAUGCAAGUCGAACGGUAACGCGGGGCAACCUGGCGACGAGUGGCGAACGGGUGAGUAAUGCAUCGGAACGUGCCCAGUAGUGGGGGAUAGCCCGGCGAAAGCCGGAUUAAUACCGCAUACGACCUACGGGUGAAAGCGGGGGACCGUAAGGCCUCGCGCUAUUGGAGCGGCCGAUGUCAGAUUAGGUAGUUGGUGGGGUAAAGGCCUACCAAGCCUACGAUCUGUAGCUGGUCUGAGAGGACGACCAGCCACACUGGGACUGAGACACGGCCCAGACUCCUACGGGAGGCAGCAGUGGGGAAUUUUGGACAAUGGGCGCAAGCCUGAUCCAGCCAUGCCGCGUGCGGGACGAAGGCC
This 384-nucleotide ribosomal RNA is filed under the name uncultured bacterium. Its description in RNAcentral is "bacterial SSU rRNA". It matches the Rfam family "Bacterial small subunit ribosomal RNA", at positions 29 to 416 of the family's 1533-position model. The record is from RNAcentral.